This 4244-nucleotide long non-coding RNA is filed under the name Marmota monax (woodchuck). Lineage: Eukaryota; Metazoa; Chordata; Mammalia; Rodentia; Sciuridae. The record is from RNAcentral.
GAAGUAAUUAAAAAAUAAAGGUAAGAACAGAAGGACUUUUGAUAAUUAGCGCCAUAGAUAAAAAUGCUUGCUUUUUGUUCAUUUCAAUGACUAGAUAAGGAAUUAUUAAGAGGCACAUAAUUUAGUCGAAUUAACCACAAUCCUAUUGAAUAACUAUAUUUUAUAAGCAUUUCAGAAUCUGAUUUAUUUUAGGUUGCCAGACACUUGAUAAAUGACAAGAAUUUUAAGUAAAUGUGGCUAAGCCUUUUACUUGGGAGAGUAGAAAAAUGAAAUCUCAUACAAAAUUGUAUCAGAUUUUAUAGUAAUCAUUUGAGCUGUAAUAUAAUUCUAAUUGGUUUACCGGUAAAGUUUUUAGGGUUCUUAUUUCUAGCAUUUUUGAUGAUCAAUUUCAAUUUGCUUCCAUGUAUUUCAUUUUCCCUUUCAUCAUCUGUCUUUUCAUAUUGUGAAACUUGGUAGUAAUAUAUUCAUUUGAAUUUUAUGAACCCCGUAAAUGUCUUUUUAUGAUGCCUUUUUCAUUUCUAGAGAAAAAAGCAUUCUCAGCUGCAGAAGGUUAUUCUUUUAAGCUUUUUAUAAAAGCUAGUAAAAUUGGUUUAACUGUCCUGACCCCUCUGGUUUUAGUCAGUUUCCCAUUUCACUGUUGCAAAUAAAAUACAUCUCAAGUUUUUAGUGGCUAUCAGAAGUUGAAGAGCCAGAAAUAAAUUUGGGGGGAAAAAACACCAUAAAAACAGAUCUUAUAAAGGAUCCCACAGUAUUAUACAAUUAUAUUAUCCCAGUUUGGAUAUAUAUGAGUGAGGAAAGAGUUUUAUAUUUGGCUACCCAGAACUUCAUAGCAUAACAACCUUAUCUUCUAAAUAUUUCCACAUAUUUUACUUAUGUAUACCAAUAGCUACGCUACCAUCACCUGAGAAUUUCGUAUGAGAUACCAACAAAAUAGACUCAAUCAAGGAGGAUUCUGCAAGAAGGGAUAUUGGUUUUAGUACAGAACAAAUGUUCAAUAAAUGUCAGCUCUUUCUAUUAUACCUCUUAUGCCAUUUUUUAUAACUUUUUUUUUCUAAACUGAGACUUAAUUUAUGCAUAGUGAUAUGCACAAGUGAACAUUCUGAAAAUAUAGUGUAAACAGCCUUGGUAAAUAGACAACCAUGUCACCUAAAAACAAUCAAGGUAUAGGAUAUUAUGAUGUUUCUACAAAAAUUCUUGCCCCUCUCCUGCUGAUUCUUACCGUUAAGUAGAUCCAAUGUUUUUUUCUUACUCAUAUUAGAUAAGAGAAAUUGUGAUUAUUCUCAAAAUUCAUACAAUUUGUGUAUUAUUUCUUCUAGCUUCUUGGUCAUCUAUGUCAUUGUGUGAAACAGUUUCUUUUUGUUUCUAAGUUAUAAUUCACUGUGCAAAUAUAUCACAUUUUGUUUACUCAAUCGUCUGUUGAAGAACGUUAGUUGUUUAAAAAAUUUUUGGAGCAAUGUAAAUUAAGUGAAUUGUACUUUCAACGAAAUGCAAGGGGCCCAUAUAGCUAGAUUUUAGAUUAUAAGUGAGGUAGUGGUGAGAGCUGAUGCUGGAAUUUAGUUGGGGAUUAACUGUAGAAAUGUUUUAUUAAAGGAGUUUGGAUUUAAUUGUGAAAAGAAUGGCAGAACCAUUCUUUUCACAAUACUGUUUCUAGUUAUCAUUGCAGAAAUAAUCCUCUAGUGACAAUGGGUAAAAAACAAGGCUUUCAAUAAACUCUGUCUUCAGAGGAGGAAGAAAUAGUGUUCAGGUUUACAAUAUGUGAAAGUAUUUACAUGAGCAUAAUAUAUGUGUUUGGAGAAGGCGUUUUCUGUGGUGCUGUGGUAUAAAAAAUAAGUAAGUCUUCACAUACCCAGAAUAUAAAGUUCAGAGAGCUCUUAACUGAAGUGGAGACUCAGAAAGAUUAUUAUUGAAUUUAUUGCAUGAUGUUUAGCCUUUGUUCUCACCUAUAAUGAUGUACUUUGUAAAUGAGAACAGGCACAGGAGAGUUAGAAAUGAGGAUCUCAAGGAGGAUAAUUCAGGGAUGGAAUGGAUGGUGUUUAGUGUCAUUAGAUGUAGUUGGUGAGGAAGAAGAAAGGAGAUUUUUUGUUUGUGUUUUUGAUGAGCUAAUGGUAUCAUAAAAAUAGUGUAUAUAAGAGAAAGAGAGAACGAUCAUUUCAAGUUUGUAGAUAUUGAAUUUAGGGCCCCUGUGGCAUUGCUAGAUGGACAUGCGCACUGGUUAUUUGAGUAUGUGCAUGUGGAAGACAGGGUGAUCAGCCUUUAUGUUAGAGAGUCAUGGGCUUUCAGAUGCUUUGUGAGAUCACUUUGGUACAGACAUCAAGUGAGGGGUGGUGAGGGUAAAAAGAAGAAUACUCUGAAAUGCCAGCAUUUAGAAGGGGAAGGAGAGGGUCUGACAAAAGAUACCGAGAAGGAAUGAUCAGUGAAAUAUUUCAUUGUAGCUAGAGGAAGACAUGCAUUUUUAUUCCUCUUGGCCCUUCUAAUCCCUGUUCUAGUUAUCACUCUCUCUGAACCUAUUACAAUCCUCAAACUUCUUAUUUUUUUCCUUAAAUUAGGCCAGAAUUCCUCACAGCUGUUUGUCCUCCAAAUUCCCUGGAUCUGUUCACAUUCCUCAGGAACUAGGUUCUUUGUCAUUCUCUUCAUCUUAAUCACAGUUCCUCUUUUCAGGAACACAGGUGUAUACACCUGCCUUUCUCAGACCCCAGCUCUUUUGCAUAGUGUGUGUGUAUGUUUUUUUUUUCCUCUCUAGCAUCUUCUCUACCCCUAUUUAUUCAUCUGCUCUGUUCAUCAAAUUAUGAUGCAUUUAUGCAGUUUUCUAACCCUUCUCUGAUUAUUGUAUUUGUUAUAUUCCUUUAAAAACAAGUGCUUGGCAAAAGUAAAGUCAUUUGUGGGUCUGCUAUUACUAACUCCAAUUGCUUUCCCCUCAAUCAGUGAGAACCACCAUCAUCUGAGUCCACCUUCUGGGUCUGCCUUCUGGAAGUCACUCCAGGCCAUAUGCUGUGGUUCUCAUCGAGCUCACCUCACGGAUUUCCUCUUUCAGAACCUACAGUUCUGCACUGAUGACUAUCCAAAAGAUGAAAAGUUAUUUUACUGUAUUUUGUCCACAUUUGUAUCUGUUUAUAGUAAGUGUGAAGUUAUUGCAGUCUGUCUUUAUGGAAAUCAUGGUUUUAUUUCUGUUAGCUUUGUUUGCUUGGUUAAUGUCUCUUCCUGGCUCAAACACAAGAACUUCUAAUUAUUUUAUGGAAAAGUAUAGGACAUAAUAAUAUAAAAUAAUCCUUAGAAUUUAAAUAAACUCAUCUUGAGUGAAUAAAUUAGUGAAAGAAGGAGCUCAAAUAGAAGAUCAAACAAUUUUUAGUAAUUACAUUUUUUGAGAUAGGAGUCUCACUAUGUUGUCUAGACUGGUCUCAAAACUUGUGGACUCAGGUGAUCCUUCUGCCUCAGCCUCCUGAGUAGCUGUAAUUACAGGCACAUGCUACUAGCCCCAACUCAAACAAAUGCCGAAUGACAUAGAUAUAUCAAUUAAAAUAAAGCCUGAAAUGUCAAUAGGACAUAAGCCAUUUUGAUGGAGUGUCAUGGAUGAAAGUCUAAGGCACUAGCACAAGAAAACAAAGACAUAGAAAGUAAACAUGUUACAAACUGAAAAGCUUGGGCAAAUCAGAUUUAUAUAAUAAAGAGUUAUGUAGUCAGCAAUGAUGAUGUGAAAGAAAAGUGGUUUGCAUAUGAUAGUUUGCUCUCUCACAUUCAAUAAUAAAAAUCUACUACCACCAGGCUUUCCAUGGUAUAACUUGGCAUCAGGGAUGACCUGCCUAGAUUAGUUUUUCUUUUUGCUUGAUAAUUCUAUACACUCUAUAAGUUUGUUCAAAACUAUAUUUCUAUAGAAAUUAUUAGUAUACAUUCUUAUUUAUAUAAUUAUUCAACUCAUAAAAUAUUUUUGGGUUCACAGAAAAUGAUUUUCUAGAGAUAGAAGAGUUUAGAACCUGUUUACACUUGAUGCAGAGGGAGCCAGGAGACAUUGCAAUGUGGGAAUCACAUGGGAUUGGGUAGUCGGUGAAGGUCAAAGUCUCUGGGAAGAUAGGAGAGGAUUGACAGCUCUGCUUGAUGCAUCACCCAUAAAUACAGGGAAUUAUUUCCUUUUGAUGCUUCUGAGAAAAUAAAUAACUGUACUUAAUCAAACAGCACUCAAUAUUUUUUUUGUGUGUGUGAGAUUUAAAGUUAUGGUUACUCCAGUAAGUCUCAUUUUCACUGUGAAUUAG